UAGGGAAUAUUAGAAAUGGACGAAAGUCUGAUCUAGCAACACCGCGUGUGCGAAGAAGGCCUUCGGGUUGUAAAGCACUUUUUGGAAGGAUUAGGAAGGAAUGUACUUCCAGAAUAAGUCUCGGCUAACUACGUGCCAGCAGCCGCGGUAACACGUAGGAGGCAAACGUUAUCCGGAUUUACUGGGCGUAAAGCGCGUGUAGGUGGUUUGGUAAGUAGAGCGUGAAAGCUCCUGGCUUAACUGGGAGAGGUCGUUCAAAACUAUCAGACUUGAGAGUGGUAGAGGGAGGUGGAAUUCCGCAUGUAGUGGUGAAAUGCGUAGAUAUGCGGAGGAACACCAGUGGCGAAAGCGGCCUCCUGGCCCAUUUCUGACGCUCAGACACGAAAGCUAAGGUAGCAAACG
Molecule: ribosomal RNA, 402 nt
Filed under: uncultured prokaryote
Description: bacterial SSU rRNA
Rfam family: Bacterial small subunit ribosomal RNA
Source: RNAcentral